CGUGUAGGCGGGAAAGAUAGUCGUAUGUGAAACCUGACGGCUCAACUGUCAGCCUGCAUACGAAACUACUUACCUUGAGUUUGGGAGAGGAGAGCGGAAUUCCUGGUGUAGCGGUGGAAUGCGUAGAUAUCAGGAAGAACACCGGAGGCGAAGGCGGCUCUCUGGCCCGAUACUGACGCUGAAGCGCGAAAGCUAGGGGAGCAAACAGGAUUAGAUACCCUGGUAGUCC
RNAcentral lists this ribosomal RNA (229 nucleotides) under uncultured bacterium. RNAcentral's name for it is "partial 16S ribosomal RNA". It matches the Rfam family "Bacterial small subunit ribosomal RNA", at positions 568 to 796 of the family's 1533-position model. The record is from RNAcentral.